UCCAUUCAUCCCACGAAUAAUCAAACAUUACAUUCAAACUAUGCGGCAUUUCCCAUACCAAUCUAGUUAAAAUAUGUGUUUCUAAAAAACUAAAACCCCCCACAAAUCUUUUAUAUAUAGGGUUCACCCUACACCAUAUUUUGUUCAUCUUAGCAAAUAUAUCUUUCUUAUAAGCAAUGGCACCUAAGGCUUUGAGUUCUAGUUUGGUGACCCUUCUCAUAUUUGCCAUCAUCUUGUCCCCGAUAUCAACAUGUGAUGCAGUUAGGUUUACUCAACGAGCUUCGGGACCAAUAUGUCCUGCUUGUGUUUGUUGCACACCUGCACCACCUGGCUCUUGUUGUCAGUGUUGUGCAACUCCUGUUGAAACUCAGUCUGAGAAUAGCUCUCCAUGAUACUAUUUACAUAUUUCAGGACUCCUGAGAGCCAAAUUUCAAGAAAAAAAGUUGUUUGUACAAUGGUGACGUAGUUUCAAUGUUUUAUUAUGUUGUAAUAAUUUGCUACCAAAUAUAUCAACGUUUUAAUUAUGAAUUUCUGCAAUUGAAUAUUGUUCAUUUAUUUUGGCUUUAAGAGAUGGAAACUCUGUUGUCCAUGCUCAUGCAAAGUUUGCUACUGUGAUUAGGUCUAGUAUGUGUUGUAAUAAAUUCUCCCUCCUUCCUUUUUUGGAGGUGUAUGUGUGUGGUGGUUGAAUGUUUCCUGUGCUUCUGUAUAAUGAAGUUAUGACUUAUAUCCAAAAAAAAAGUGUCACUGUAUUGUAAUUUGCUGCCAAAUAUAUCAAUCUUUGUGUGAUAUUCUAAUUCUA
Molecule: long non-coding RNA, 799 nt
Organism: Quercus robur (English oak)
Lineage: Eukaryota; Viridiplantae; Streptophyta; Magnoliopsida; Fagales; Fagaceae
Exons: 2
Source: RefSeq, a predicted model, not a curated record